Molecule: ribosomal RNA, 427 nt
Filed under: uncultured Massilia sp.
Lineage: Bacteria; Pseudomonadati; Pseudomonadota; Betaproteobacteria; Burkholderiales; Oxalobacteraceae
Description: bacterial SSU rRNA
Rfam family: Bacterial small subunit ribosomal RNA
Source: RNAcentral
UGGGGAAUUUUGGACAAUGGGCGCAAGCCUGAUCCAGCAAUGCCGCGUGAGUGAAGAAGGCCUUCGGGUUGUAAAGCUCUUUUGUCAGGGAAGAAACGGCCUGGGUUAAUACCUUGGGCUAAUGACGGUACCUGAAGAAUAAGCACCGGCUAACUACGUGCCAGCAGCCGCGGUAAUACGUAGGGUGCAAGCGUUAAUCGGAAUUACUGGGCGUAAAGCGUGCGCAGGCGGUUUUGUAAGUCUGUCGUGAAAUCCCCGGGCUCAACCUGGGAAUUGCGAUGGAGACUGCAAGGCUGGAGUCUGGCAGAGGGGGGUAGAAUUCCACGUGUAGCAGUGAAAUGCGUAGAGAUGUGGAGGAACACCGAUGGCGAAGGCAGCCCCCUGGGUCAAGACUGACGCUCAUGCACGAAAGCGUGGGGAGCAAACA